UACGUAGGGUGCAAGCGUUGUCCGGAAUUAUUGGGCGUAAAGAGCUCGUAGGCGGUCUGUCGCGUCUGCUGUGAAAACUCGGGGCUUAACCCCGGGCCUGCAGUGGGUACGGGCAGACUAGAGUGCGGUAGGGGAGACUGGAAUUCCUGGUGUAGCGGUGAAAUGCGCAGAUAUCAGGAGGAACACCGGUGGCGAAGGCGGGUCUCUGGGCCGUAACUGACGCUGAGGAGCGAAAGCGUGGGGAGCGAGCAGG
This 253-nucleotide ribosomal RNA is filed under the name uncultured bacterium. RNAcentral describes it as "partial 16S ribosomal RNA". It matches the Rfam family "Bacterial small subunit ribosomal RNA", at positions 524 to 776 of the family's 1533-position model. The record is from RNAcentral.